GUUUUUGUAGUUUAAUUAAAACAGUGAUUUUGUAAAUCAUUAAUUAGAAAAAUAUUUCUUAAAAACA
RNAcentral lists this transfer RNA (67 nucleotides) under Neosymplana vittatum. RNAcentral describes it as "tRNA-Thr". Lineage: Eukaryota; Metazoa; Arthropoda; Insecta; Hemiptera; Caliscelidae. The record is from RNAcentral.